RNAcentral lists this ribosomal RNA (460 nucleotides) under uncultured bacterium. Its description in RNAcentral is "partial 16S ribosomal RNA". It matches the Rfam family "Bacterial small subunit ribosomal RNA", at positions 338 to 795 of the family's 1533-position model. The record is from RNAcentral.
CCUACGGGAGGCAGCAGUGAGGAAUAUUGGUCAAUGGACGAGAGUCUGAACCAGCCAAGUAGCGUGAAGGAUGACUGCCCUAUGGGUUGUAAACUUCUUUUAUAUGGGAAUAAAAUGUUCCACGUGUGGGAUUUUGUAUGUACCAUAUGAAUAAGGAUCGGCUAACUCCGUGCCAGCAGCCGCGGUAAUACGGAGGAUCCGAGCGUUAUCCGGAUUUAUUGGGUUUAAAGGGAGCGUAGGUGGAUUGUUAAGUCAGUUGUGAAAGUUUGCGGCUCAAACGUAAAAUUGCAGUUGAAACUGGCAGUCUUGAGUACAGUAGAGGUGGGCGGAAUUCGUGGUGUAGCGGUGAAAUGCUUAGAUAUCACGAAGAACUCCGAUUGCGAAGGCAGUUCACUGGACUGCAACUGACACUGAGGCUCGAAAGUGUGGGUAUCAAACAGGAUUAGAGACCCGAGUAGUC